Lagopus leucura (white-tailed ptarmigan) is the source of this 709-nucleotide long non-coding RNA. RefSeq lists it as uncharacterized. The transcript has 4 exons. Lineage: Eukaryota; Metazoa; Chordata; Aves; Galliformes; Phasianidae. The record is from RefSeq and is a predicted model, not a curated record.
AGGCACCAAGGAGCUGACUGCAAAUGGAAUCCACCAAAUUGUUACCCGUCCUCAUGGAACGCACAACACGGGUCCCAAACACAACCAGCCCGCACCUGGAAGGCUUCCCAUCGCACAGCCUUCACCACAACAGGCCAGACGACCGCUUCACGGACGUGCUACAGCCUCCCGCCGCACCUCGAUACCGAAUUCAGUCUUAGUCGUACAGAAGAUUAAAGGCCGACGAAAAGCCAGUCAAGUUUUUCAACCUCUUCGGGACAUCUUGUCACCAGGACCUUCUGAACAGACAACAGCUUCUGAGACUGUUUAGGAAAUCCGUCCGUCUCAAGUCUCCAUCAGCCAACAGCCAGCCUUCAGAUUCUCUUCUAGUAGGAGAGAAACAAUGGGACUACUGUUAUGUGAAGAGAAUGGUAGGAGAAGAAGAGAUUUCUUAACAACUGUAAGAACAAGCCAAUUCCGUGCUUCUGAGGAAUUUGGAAUUCUCAUCAGCUCUUCGUUUACUGCCAAUGGAUAUUCUUCCUCCAGAAAAAAAAGGAUCUAUCGGUGACAGGAACUGUUCCUUCCUCCAUUUCUUCCAAACAGCAAGUUUCUGUUUGCUUACAACUGCAUCUGUCUUUAAGGCCGGGGUCACGUUCCAACUGAAGUGCUACAACACUAAAUGAAGAAUACUUGAAAGAGGUACCAAACAAAAACCAACAACCUACAAUAA